UUAUUCGGAAUCACUGGGCUUAAAGGGUGCGUAGGCCGCACGGUAAGUCAGAGGUGAAAUCCCGGAGCUCAACUUCGGAAUUGCCUCCGAUACUGCCGUGCUUGAGGACUGGAGAGGAGAUUGGAAUUCACAGUGGAGCAGUGAAAUGCGUAGAUAUUGUGAGGAACACGAGUGGCGAAGGCGAAUCUCUGGACAGUUCCUGACGCUGAGGCACGAAGGCCAGGGGAGCAAACGGG
Molecule: ribosomal RNA, 236 nt
Filed under: uncultured bacterium
Lineage: Bacteria
Description: partial 16S ribosomal RNA
Rfam family: Bacterial small subunit ribosomal RNA
Source: RNAcentral